GCUUGCUCCCUUACCUCAUUCAGAGGAAGACUUAAAUUACAUGUGCCCCCAAAAUCUCCUACCACUCCAGCUACCACUCUCUUCUUCCCAGGUCUUUUUCUCCUUACCCUGCUGUACUCUUUGCCCCAUAGCUACCUCACAUAUUUCAUAUUCAUUUGUUUCUUGGUUUACUGUUUCUUACCCCUCCUAGACCGUAAGCCUCAUGUGGGUUAGGACUUUGAUAAUCUGCUGUUUUGCCCAGAACCCAGAAUAUGGUAGAAUACACACACACACACACACACACACACACACACACACACACACACACACUGUUAUACCUAGCAGGGUGAGGAGCUUACACACACACACACACACACACACACACACACACACACACACACACACACACUGUUAUACCUAGCAGGGUGAGGAGCUUGGUAGAUCAAUAAUAAAUGUUUAUUGAAUAAGAAACAAUGUAGAUCGGCAAGAGAUGUUGCUGACCUCUUAUAUUGGGCUAUUUGGGAGUUAUUUAACUUUUGGAUGCCUCAGCUUUCCCAUCUGAGAAGCCAAAAUUAAACACAGUAGAGUUUACUGUUUGCUAAUCAGCAUGUGUUUACUUUCUCUUCCAAAACUGAAGUUGCCAACCAAUACAUUUCCUACCCAGUGCUAUGAAUCUGUCCAAAUAAACAUGGGAAGUAGUGAAACAAUGACACCACAUGAAAAAUAUAUCCUUAUUCAUUAAAUAGAAUCCAAAAAAUUCUCUGGAAUUUAAUUGUAGCAAUGACGUGAGGACUGUCUGGUCUAUUAAGAGAGGAUAGUGACUUCCCUCUUCAGUUAGUCCAGCACGGAUGAGUGUGAUCUUAAGUGGCUCUACAAUUCCACAUGCAUCGUCCUAAAUCUAGAUACAUGAAAAUGGAUCAUUUCCUAUCAACCCCUCACUCACACCCGUGGACUCUAGGGCAUUUGUGGUAGAGUUUUAUGGUAAUUACAAACAUAAGCAGCUUGUCAGAAUUCAAAUAAUCAAUUUUAAUUUCUGUCUCAAUCACUAAAGAUUACUGACCACUAUGAUGAAAUUAAGGAGUGCUUUCUCUGGAGAUUGCAAACACAAGGGCAGAGAGAAGUUAGAAGCUUCUAUUUUGUGGUCAGUUUUGAAAAAUACAGUCAAAAGCAGUAGCCAUAAUCAACAUUAUAGAGAACCUUAAAUUCAUAAAGAUGCCAAUUUAGCUAUUAGUGGGCAGUUCCAUAUAAAACUGGUAGCUAUAAUGCGUACACAUGUCUUU
Molecule: long non-coding RNA, 1259 nt
Filed under: Homo sapiens (human)
Lineage: Eukaryota; Metazoa; Chordata; Mammalia; Primates; Hominidae
Description: HSALNT0351204
Source: RNAcentral